This 1636-nucleotide ribosomal RNA is filed under the name Triticum aestivum (bread wheat). RNAcentral's name for it is "partial small subunit ribosomal RNA". The record is from RNAcentral. Lineage: Eukaryota; Viridiplantae; Streptophyta; Magnoliopsida; Poales; Poaceae.
UGAACAAGUUAGCCGCAUCGUGUUGAUGUAAUUUGAGCCGUAGAGAUGGUGGCUGACUCAUAUAUUCGUUAAGCAUCUUGUGCGACCAUUGCUCUUGUAAUGAAUAACUGUCCUGCAUAAACAAUAUUGCAGACCAAGGCAAAGAUAAACUGCUCUUUGACAAAAACAAGCUUUACCUAAUAAUAAAGAGAAUUGGGUUUCUGCUGUCCGUCGUUCGCUUUUUUACAGAAAAGUCCCUGUACUUCUUCAUAAUUAAACCUGCAGUCCCUUCUUAAGUGAAUCUGAGAAAACGUUUUGUUUUUACAAAAAAGCCCCUGCAUUUGUAGUAAUUCAACCCGCGAUCCCGUCUUCCUCUUCCUCAACACCUCCGCUGCCUGAUAAAAAACAGAGGUGGCGAUCUCCGCCGGCCAGCCUCCAGAUCCCCGACAACUGCGAGUGGUUCACGCGUGCCCACUCCCGGCAGCCCUUCUCUUCGCCGUCGUAUGUGCCUCCCUGGCCGGGACCUCCUCCGCCUCUUUGCCACCACUAUCGUGAAUAAAAAAAGCAGCACUAGCUGCCCAGCUUACAGAGGAGAAUGGUUGCAGCUAAUUUGCCAUUUAGGCUAAUCUUAAAGGAAAAAGAGAGCCCAGGUGAAGAUUCAGAAAAAAUAGUCCAAGCGUCCACCGGCGAGAUCUGGGCCCGCAGCCCCACAGCAAGGCGUAGUCGGAGGAGGGUGGGCUGGACACGACCACGCCGAUCCGGAGCCCAGAGCCCCGACGCAGAUCCACGCGGCCCCGUCGAGCAGCCGCCAAGGUCGACCUUGAGCAGGCCACCGUUGUUGCGUCGACCCUGAGCAGACCACCGCUGCCGCGCCCUCCGCCACAGGCCCAGCCAACACCGUGUGCGCGGCCGGGCCACACCACUGCCGCGCCUCCAAGGUCAAGGCCACUGCUUCCGCACCCUCCGCCACAAGCCCAGCCAGCACCGUGCGCGCGGCCCGACCACCACGAGCCCAUACACGAUAUGCAGCCGCGCCGCAACCGGGCGACGAACGCAAAGCAGCCGCCACGGGCGUGCGUGAGUUUAGUGUGGCUGGAGAACGGAUAGAAGAGGAAGGAGAGCAGCCGCUGAUAGAGAAAAGAGAAGGAGAGCAGCGCUGACGAUGUGGGUUCGUGGGCUCGCUGGAUGGAUGAAUAGAGGGAAGAAGAAGAGCAACUCUGUGCUAGAGGAAUGGAGAUGUGGAAGAAGAGCAACGCAAUUGAGAGCUUCUCGGUGGCUAUUUUUUUGGUGUAGAAUGCUUUUUUAGUGGCUGCACCGACCAGAAAGCUGAACUCAGCUGGAUCCGGCGGCGGCUGGACUUGUAGGGGCUGCGGCGUCCUGCGUUGGGUCGAGGGUAACCGGAUCCGGCGGCGGCUGCGGCUGGACUUGGGAAAAGAAUGAACGGAGAAGGAGAGGCAACGAGGUGUUGCAGGCGGCGACAUGGUCGGCGCAGCCGACGGAGACAGGGAACUCCUCGGGGGUGGUCUCCCUGGCUGUGCAGGGUCACCCGGCGGCGGUGGGCGUAGGCGCCAUCGGCGUGUCCCUGGAUGAGGGGUCGUGGUAUGUGGGGCAGCGGAUAACCGGCAAAAGCCGAGCCAUGCGGAAGAUAACCGCUGUC